RNAcentral lists this ribosomal RNA (601 nucleotides) under uncultured bacterium. Its description in RNAcentral is "bacterial SSU rRNA". It matches the Rfam family "Bacterial small subunit ribosomal RNA", at positions 822 to 1423 of the family's 1533-position model. The record is from RNAcentral.
GGUUGUGCCCUUGAGGCGUGGCUUCCGGAGCUAACGCGUUAAGUAGACCGCCUGGGGAGUACGGCCGCAAGGUUAAAACUCAAAUGAAUUGACGGGGGCCCGCACAAGCGGUGGAGCAUGUGGUUUAAUUCGAUGCAACGCGAAGAACCUUACCUGGUCUUGACAUCCACAGAAGUUUGCAGAGAUGCGAAUGUGCCUUCGGGAACUGUGAGACAGGUGCUGCAUGGCUGUCGUCAGCUCGUGUUGUGAAAUGUUGGGUUAAGUCCCGCAACGAGCGCAACCCUUAUCCUUUGUUGCCAGCGAUUCGGUCGGGAACUCAAAGGAGACUGCCAGUGAUAAACUGGAGGAAGGUGGGGAUGACGUCAAGUCAUCAUGGCCCUUACGACCAGGGCUACACACGUGCUACAAUGGCGCAUACAAAGAGAAGCGACCUCGCGAGAGCAAGCGGACCUCAUAAAGUGCGUCGUAGUCCGGAUUGGAGUCUGCAACUCGACUCCAUGAAGUCGGAAUCGCUAGUAAUCGUGGAUCAGAAUGCCACGGUGAAUACGUUCCCGGGCCUUGUACACACCGCCCGUCACACCAUGGGAGUGGGUUGCAAAAG